RNAcentral lists this ribosomal RNA (405 nucleotides) under uncultured bacterium. RNAcentral describes it as "partial 16S ribosomal RNA". It matches the Rfam family "Bacterial small subunit ribosomal RNA", at positions 28 to 526 of the family's 1533-position model. The record is from RNAcentral.
GAUGAACGCUGGCGGCGUGCCUAAUACAUGCAAGUCGAGCGAAGCGGGGACGGAUGAGUAACACGUGGAUAAACGUCUAUAAGACUGGGAUAACUUCGGGAAACCGGAGCUAAACCGGAUAAUUAUAGAUGGAUCCGCGCUGCAUUAGCUAGUUGGUAAGGUAACGGCUUACCAAGGCAACGAUGACUAGCCGACCUGAAAGGGUGAUCGGCCACACUGGAACGGAGACACGGUCCCGCCUCCUACGGGAGGCAGCAGUAGGGAAGCUUCCUCAAUGGGCGAAAGCCUGGCCGAGAAACGCCGCGUGAGUGAUGAAGUUCUUCGGAUCGUAAAACGCUGUUAUGAGGGAAGCGGUACCUAAUCAGAAAGCCACGGCUAACUACGUGCCAGCAGCCGCGGUAAUAC